AAGGUCCGAGCCCGGGCGAAUUCGCCCUUUACCCUGCUGAACUUAAGCAUACCAAUAAGCGGAGGAAAAGAAACUAACAAGGAUUCCCCUAGUAACUGCGAGUGAAGCGGGAAAAGCUCAAAUUUAAAAUCUGGGGGUCCCUGUGGCCCUCCGAGUUGUAAUCUAGAGAAGUGCUAUCCGCGCUGGACCGUGUACAAGUCUCCUGGAACGGAGCGUCAUAGAGGGUGAGAAUCCCGUCUUUGACACGGACUACCAGGGCUUAUGUGAUGUGCUCUCAAAGAGUCGAGUUGUUUGGGAAUGCAGCUCUAAAUGGGUGGUAAAUUCCAUCUAAAGCUAAAUAUUGGCGAGAGACCGAUAGCGAACAAGUACCGUGAGGGAAAGGUGAAAAGAACUUUGGAAAGAGAGUUAAACAGUACGUGAAAUUGUUGAAAGGGAAACGCUUGAAGUCAGUCGCGUUGCCCAGAAAUCAACCUUGCUUUUGCUUGGUGUACUUUCUGGUUAACGGGUCAGCAUCAAUUUUGACCGGUGGAUAAAGGUCAGGGGAAUGUGGCAUCUUCGGAUGUGUUAUAGCCCUUGGUUGCAUACAUCGAUUGGGAUUGAGGAACUCAGCAUGCCGCAAGGCCGGGUUUUUAACCACGUACAUGCUUAGGAUGCUGGCAUAAUGGCUUUAAUCGACCCGUCUUGAAACACGG
This 692-nucleotide ribosomal RNA is filed under the name uncultured fungus. Its description in RNAcentral is "eukaryotic LSU rRNA". It matches the Rfam family "Eukaryotic large subunit ribosomal RNA", at positions 1 to 664 of the family's 3401-position model. Lineage: Eukaryota; Fungi. The record is from RNAcentral.